AUAUCACUCUCCACUUGUCUUUUCUUUCUUGCAAAGUUUCUAUAACAUUUGCUUAACUUCUUCUCUUUCCCAUUCUAUUUAUGUGAGUUUUAGCUUUGUUUUAUUGACAAACAAAGAUCAACUAGAAGUUUUGGUAGAUAAAGGAGGGCUAAGAGAAAAUAUAUAGAAGAUGUAUGUAAUAGUGAUUUCAUUGCCUUUGAUUAUAUUGGUAUUAAUAGUAGCCAUUGUUUGUUACAUGUGUGGAAGAUCAAGGGGUUGUUGCUAAUAAAAUUCACUCCAAAAUGUUCUAUUAUGCUUGUUCUGUUCGAUGGAGCUAGAGUCUGAAUACAAAUUUGUCUAAAUUUAACAAUAUUCGUUUAAAUAAUAUAUUUAUAUUAGUAAAUUCGUUAUAUUUGAAUUUUAAUUAUAGAGCCCAAGGUAACACUAUAUAUAUAUUGUCUCAUGAUUUUGUAUGAUUGGUGAGUGAUUAUUGUCUAUGAUUGUGCAUAGGUGGACCAAAGGUGAUGUUUGAACAGUCAUAACCAAUAAUAGAGGAGGGGCUAAGAGAAAUAUAUAGAAGAUGUAUGUAAUAGUGAUUUCAUUGCCUUUGAUUAUAUUGGUAUUGAUAGUAGCCAUUGUUUGUUACAUGUGUGGAAGAUCAAGGGGUUGUUGCUGAUAAAUUUUACUCCAAAAUGUUCUAUUAUGCUUCUUCUGCUCGAUGGAGUUAGAAGUCUGAAUACAAAUUUAACUGAAUUUAAUAAUAUUUGUUUGAAUAAUAUAUUUAUAUUCGUU
Solanum tuberosum (potato) is the source of this 771-nucleotide long non-coding RNA. RefSeq lists it as uncharacterized. The transcript has 3 exons. Lineage: Eukaryota; Viridiplantae; Streptophyta; Magnoliopsida; Solanales; Solanaceae. The record is from RefSeq and is a predicted model, not a curated record.